AUUGGUUAAUGGCAGUAAAGCCCGCCCACCAGCUCUGGUCGGCUCCUUUAAGAGAAAGCCAUCACCGUUCCCCAGUCUUUCACCGCCUGCAGAUUCCGGAAGCUCCCAGCCGAGGACGUCGGGUCUUACCGUCCUUGCUGCUUUGCCACCCCAUUCCCCUCAAUAAAGUGUUUUGAACCCAACCCUGGUGUCGGUGUGUGUCGUUGGCGACGCGCUGUCUUUGAGCCCCCGCCGAGCCUCCUCGUGGCGCCGGGGGUCAAUCUGCAGCGCUAGAGCAUGUGCUUGCGCAUAACUGGGGCCGCUUGGCCCCCCGCGGGCGGCCCUUUUAACCGCGAGCGACAAUAAGUAACCUGACUGUCCGGCUGCUAGGCUGGGCAAUUUUCCAGGGGUUUUGCCACGACAGGCCUCAAGCCGUAAUACCAAGGCUGGAAUGGCGUGUGAGGGGAACGGUGACUGACGGGGACACGCGGACUCUGCUGCGUAGUGAGUGCCCCUCUGUGCUCCCCAGCCCCGCCCUCCCCGAGUGCAUCGCGCGCGCUGUGCCUUUGCCAUGAGUUCGACCUAAGUCCCAAGCUGUCGUGUCUGCCAUCAGACGCGCAGAUUUAGUUGAAGGCAGCUUGGAAUGGUGUCUGCAGGGCUGCUGUGUACUUGACAUAAACGGAUUCAGUGUGGAACUGCAUGAGUUAACUCCUGACUAAAGGGGUAAUCGACCUCUUUACAAACAACCACCAUGCAGGAGUAUGUGUGACAAGCAUGGGACUAAAGCUUCGGGCAGGUUAAUCUGUCACUCCUAAACAGUUCAAAAUUACAGGGCGGUUGUGAAGACGAAUUAGAUUUUAUAUAUAGUUGGGGACAACAUAGACACCUAGUUACACAGUCCAGAUUCUAUGGUUGGUAAAAGAUCUUGCACAAGGGCUCCAGUGAAAUGUGCAUCAGUUCUGAGUACAAGGCAGCAGUGGUGGGCAAGGAUGCACGUACGCGUUCACUGCAUGGGCAGUCGAUGAAUGAAGAUGUCCCGAAUGAAGACAACUAGACGAUGAAGGGUAUAAACUGAAGCCCAGGAGCACCACUGUCCUACCCCCUCAGUUGUGAACUUUCACUGGAUUCUUUAAAUGUGGGCUGAAGAUAAUGGCACAUAAUUUGAAGGGAUGUGGUGCGGAUGGCUUUGCAGCCUUAAGACUGGGCAGUGAUCCAAACCAGUUAAGUGAAAGCUGCCAUUGCCAGACACAUUGCACACUGACAUUCUCUGGAAGCGUGGAAGGCUGCAUACAAAGUGUAGAAGUGAAAAAGUCCCACUGUGCACCGGCUGCCUGAAGAAAAGCUUUGGAGGAGUAGAGGA
Molecule: long non-coding RNA, 1339 nt
Organism: Rhinopithecus roxellana (golden snub-nosed monkey)
Lineage: Eukaryota; Metazoa; Chordata; Mammalia; Primates; Cercopithecidae
Exons: 3
Source: RefSeq, a predicted model, not a curated record